GACGAACGCUGGCGGCGUGCUUAAUACAUGCAAGUCGAGCGAGGUCCAUCUGGUGGCAACACCAGUGAAGGCCGAGCGGCGAACGGGUGAGUAACACGUGAGCAACCUGCCCCGAAGUCUGGAAUAACAUCGGGAAACCGGUGCUAAUACCGGAUCGCCCCACCUGACCGCAUGAUCGGGUGAGGAAAGAUUUAUCGCUUCGGGAGGGGCUCGCGGCCUAUCAGCUAGGUGGUGGGGUAACGGCCUACCAAGGCGUCGACGGGUAGCUGGUCUGAGAGGACGACCAGCCACACUGGGACUGAGACACGGCCCAGACUCCGUACGGGAGCAGCAGUAGGGAAUCUCGCGCAAGUGGGACGAAAGCCUGACGCAG
RNAcentral lists this ribosomal RNA (373 nucleotides) under uncultured bacterium. RNAcentral's name for it is "bacterial SSU rRNA". It matches the Rfam family "Bacterial small subunit ribosomal RNA", at positions 28 to 391 of the family's 1533-position model. The record is from RNAcentral.